UCAAUAAAAUAAUAUCUGCUCAUUCUUAUCCUCUCGCUACUCUCCACUCAAAUGGCGCUAUCCUUAACCAUCAGCAGUGGCACCAGUAGCAGUAGCAAUGCAAAUGGGGGCCCAAUCCUUCCCAACAACCAGCUACCCUUCGGCCUCCCUCAUCGCCGCAACGUCCUCUUCCCAAUCUCCCCCAGAACCUUCCACUUGACCUCCGCUGCCAAAAAGUUCUCUUCCCGAACCGGACGCUUCGAUAGCAAGAACCGGAGGAGCAAUCUCACGACAAAAGAACAAGACGAGGAACAGGAGCUCAAACGGACGGGGGAGAUUGAAGAAUCAAACAUUGCUGUUGGAGUUGGAU
RNAcentral lists this long non-coding RNA (349 nucleotides) under Gossypium barbadense (sea-island cotton). RNAcentral describes it as "long non-coding RNA (GBAR_LNC008552)". Lineage: Eukaryota; Viridiplantae; Streptophyta; Magnoliopsida; Malvales; Malvaceae. The record is from RNAcentral.